CAGCAGCCACGGUAAUACGUAGGGUGCAAGCGUUAGUCGGAAUUACUGGGCGUAAAGCGUGCGCAGGCGGUUCGUUAGGACAGAUGUGAAAUCCCCGGGCUUAACCUGGGAACUGCAUUUGUGACUGGCGGGCUAGAGUAUGGCAGAGGGGGGUAGAAUUCCACGUGUAGCAGUGAAAUGCGUAGGGAUGUGGAGGAAUACCGAUGGCGAAGGCAGCCCCCUGGGCCAAUACUGACGCUCAUGCACGAAAGCGUGGGGAGCAAACAGGAUUAGAUACCCCUGUAGUUCCUGUCUCUUAUAA
Molecule: ribosomal RNA, 301 nt
Filed under: uncultured bacterium
Lineage: Bacteria
Description: partial 16S ribosomal RNA
Rfam family: Bacterial small subunit ribosomal RNA
Source: RNAcentral